GACGGAGGAUGCAAGCGUUAUCCGGAAUGAUUGGGCGUAAAGCGCACGUAGGCGGCUUGGUAUGUCGGGUGUGAAAUCCCCGGGCUCAACCUGGGAACUGCAUCCGAAACUGCCUUGCUAGAGUAUGGGAGAGGGAAGUGGAAUUUCCGGUGUAGCGGUGAAAUGCGUAGAUAUCGGAAGGAACAUCAGUGGCGAAAGCGACUUCCUGGACCAAUACUGACGCUCAUGUGCGAAAGCGUGGGGAGCAAACAGG
This 253-nucleotide ribosomal RNA is filed under the name uncultured bacterium. Its description in RNAcentral is "partial 16S ribosomal RNA". It matches the Rfam family "Bacterial small subunit ribosomal RNA", at positions 524 to 776 of the family's 1533-position model. The record is from RNAcentral.